AAUUGUUGUUUUCAAAUUCCAUGCGGAUGAAGCCGCACGGGCUAAUAAAUAAAAAAAUAAUAAAGUAAAUACCUACUGAUAAGGAAAGCAGAAAACGGUGAAACUUAAAGUUAGGUUACAUAAUAAAUUUAUCUUAGAUCUUAGCUCUUAAUGUAGAUAUAGGAGGAAUCUAACAAAAAGCUUAAACAAUGACGAGAAAUGUAAUAAAAAUAAAAGUAAUUGCGGUUAAUAAUUAUAAAUGGUAUAGAAAUAAUACAACAAUAUUACGAAGUAGGGAGGCGCGGCGAGACGCGGUGCGGCGGCGGGGGCGCCGUGGGAGCCUCCGGUAAGUUUUCUUUUUGUCCGUGAGCUUUUAGCGCAAAAAGCUCUGCGGCGUCGCAGCGCAGUGACAGGCGUAGGCGCAGUGCUCGCGCGCCUCCCGACCGCGCGGCCGUAUAUAGUGUCCGCGCGCCGCCCGCCGCUCGCCGCCCAGUGCAGUGCUGUGCUGUGACAGUGCCCGUGGCCAUAUCCCAGUGAUUGGCAAGCGGGAGAUAGCUCAUAGUGCGUCGACCGUCGCCGGGUGCAGGUUCGACGCCCGCCGCCGCUUGCACCACCACGCCGCGCCGCCGACGGUUCAACGGUGGCGCACUGUAGCGGCAAGGGCAGGAAUUAUGCCAACCAAAGUAGUGUAAACUGCCGUCACAGCGCGCGCACUGCCGGCGGCAGACGCGGCCGUGCGCUCGUGUCAGCGAUGGCUCAACAUUUUUGAACGUUAACGCGCUCCGAAAAGUGUAGACGCUCUCCUCCCGCUCUACGCCAACUCACGAGACCCGUCGCCAUCAUAAGAUAUGCUCCUAGCCGGGUACUAGUUUAUUCUGGUGGAUAUCGGCGUGCGGCAAGCUCGAGACUUCUAAUGUGAAAGCAAGAGCUCCGCGUCCGAACUGCCGGACCACAUCACUCACACCUCAUUAAGCGGCGGCGCGGAGCGGACGCGCGGGGAGAGUUGUCUACACACGACACAACAGCAAACAUAAGCACUUUCGGAACCACCAAAGUUU
Long non-coding RNA from Papilio polytes (common Mormon), 1037 nucleotides. RefSeq lists it as uncharacterized. Lineage: Eukaryota; Metazoa; Arthropoda; Insecta; Lepidoptera; Papilionidae. The record is from RefSeq and is a predicted model, not a curated record. The transcript has 3 exons.